Molecule: long non-coding RNA, 323 nt
Organism: Hyposmocoma kahamanoa
Lineage: Eukaryota; Metazoa; Arthropoda; Insecta; Lepidoptera; Cosmopterigidae
Exons: 3
Source: RefSeq, a predicted model, not a curated record
GUGGCCUCAAAAUUUUCUGUUACAACUAUAAUAUGAAACAUAUCAAUACAAAUACUUCACACCGAUUUUGUACAAGAUAAGCAGUGUUUUUUACCGUUUAAGUUCUAGGUAUAUAUGAAUGCCGUUAGCAAUGUGCAUCUUCAUUGGUGUUAUUUUUUUCUUAGUACUCGGGAUGAUCUUGUUAUAUAAAUGUGAUGCCUUGAUCGGUAAUGUAGGUAAAAGUUUCAACACAAAAAUUGUUGCGUAAAUUUAAAGUGCCUUGAAGUAAAAACGUGAUUGAUCGUACUGUGUCGGAAAGUGAAAAAUUAUGGGAGAUAAAUAAG